This is a long non-coding RNA of Betta splendens (Siamese fighting fish), 6286 nucleotides long. RefSeq lists it as uncharacterized. Lineage: Eukaryota; Metazoa; Chordata; Actinopteri; Anabantiformes; Osphronemidae. The record is from RefSeq and is a predicted model, not a curated record. The transcript has 2 exons.
CGGGCUGUUUGUUCAGGUCCACAUUAUACUGCACAGUGUUAUGGGAAAAGUGUUUUCUUUCUGAUUCUAUGCAGUUAUUAUAUGAUUAUUUAUGUAUCUUCUGCAAUUAAUAUCUUACUGUAUGUUUUUCAUUACUUGUAUUUUAUGUAUGUGACCUUUGUUAUGGGAAAAAUUGUCUCUUCCUUAUUUCUAUGCAUUUCUAUGCAGUUAUUAUACGAGUUAUGACUUAUGUUCUGCAAUUAAUAUCUUAUGUUUUGUCUUACUGUAUGCAUUUGACAUUUCACCUAGAUUGUUCAAUGGUUGUCUCUGCCUGAUAGACUCUCAACUCUAGCUCCCAAACCCAAGGUCGGGGAGUUGUGUCUCUGUCUGUUGAGACUUGGUGCUCCUUUCUCACAGAUAGUUGGACGUCAGCGAUGCAGGUGUGAGAAAGUAAAAAUCUUCACACACACUGCGACAGGGAGGAGAUGGUGCAUGUAAUUUGAUUGGGUUAGAAAGACAUUCCACCUUAGUCGGACAGAGAAGCUAAAAGGCAGAAGCAACUUUAGGAUCGUGGGCUCUUUGCAUCACACCUUCGUGGUGUGUGCACUGAUCUCCCCAGCUGGUUUUUGGUUUGUUGAUGUGCACGAUCAACAUCCAUGCAUUUUAUUUGCUUUCCCCAUUAUUGUUAUUUUCUUUAUUAUUUCAAUAAAUCGCACAAAAGGACAACUCUCUCUCAUCUACUUCUUUAUGGAAAAUUUCCACCACAGAAAUUGGCGUUGUCGGCAGGAUCCCGCUGCAGGUCGUCUGGACGGUGUGACCAGGGACGAUAGUCCUGAGGACUAGGGUCGCUCAGCCUCCAAACCUCUACAGACAUUCAGAGCUGGAAGGACUGCUCACCCGUCUGAAUCGCCUCUGACGAGAUCCACGAACUCAGAUUCAAACUCAAAUCCUAAUUUGGCUCGGCUCGGUGAGAGAGAUUCCUUUUAAUUUGGGAAAAAACAAAAAGAAAAUAUAACUAGGAAAAGAGAUAAUAAUAUUUCUAAAACGACUAUGUGGCUGAAAACAUCUAAAAUAUAAUAAUUAGGACCAAACAAUUUUUUUUAAUUAAAAAAUUUAUUAUUCGGGUAAAAAUUAAUUAGGUCAAAGUCUGCCCUGGUGGUCGAGACGGUGGUUGCUAAGGGUUGGCUCGUGGGACCGAGCUUGUUUUGUCUGUACUGAGGAUACAGACCAGUGUGCAGAUCUGAGCGCAGUCCAAAGGGUGUGGACAAGGAAAUAAAAGACGGCUUCUGAAAUACGGAACGCAUUUGCAGGGGGAAGUGUUUUUGAGAUACGAGGGACCCGGGUCUUAGAGGGGCCUGACGGUGAGGGACCACUUCCGAGAACCCUGUUGCUGAUCUGAGCGGUUCCCUUUCUACGGAGACGUCAGUGGAAGAGAAAUUUCGAAAAAAGGUUCCGGCCGGAACACAUAAAAAUCUAAGGCAGGAAACCGCCGGGACUCUGAAAGAUGGGUUCGGGGCGAUCUAAGUCUCCACCACCAGACUGCAGCAUUACAAAAUUAAAAGUAAUUAUAAAAGUAAAAAGUAAAUAUGGUUAUUAGUGCGUUUCAUGUUUCCAUGAGUGGGAAACUGGUUAUGGGUUCAAAAGGAGAAUCGCUUUGUGUAAGGACAUACGCACCUUAAAAGAAAAAUUAGAGACAAAAGAAAAUACUUGAAAAAGCAAAACUAUCAAAACUAAAGCCCUAAAAGAAACAAAAGAUGAGAGUAACAGGAAAAAAGGAGAUAACAACUCUGGGGAAGAAUUGUUUGCACUCGCCACACACACACACACACACCACACACACAUCAUGUUAAGAGCAAAUGCUCCCAUUGUUUCUGCUCUUUGUCCUAAUGCAGAACUGAGCGCGAUGAGGGUAAAUCCGGAUCUGGACUCCUUUCCCACCAUCAGCAGAAGAACCGAAGGAGAAGAAGCGCUGACCAACAACCAGAACAGGGUGGAAGCUCUGACACCACAGCAGCUGGAGGACACAGACCACAGCAUGGAGGCCUCAGCGACUCCCACAACGUCUGCAGCCAUCACGUUCUGGGCUCAUCAGAUGAACCAGCUACUACAGACCCUGCACCAGCAGGAAAAGACUGUGUCUGAAGCUUCUGAAGCCGUGAAAGUGUCAUACACGCGUGUGUGUCUGACAGACACCUGCUUAUGACAAUCAGCAAAGGAAAACAAGGACAGAGCAACAGCAGAGUGAGAAGACGUGCUCUAACACAGACACUGGUUGAAACAACAGGAGAGGCUUCAGACGUGAUCGGCCCAAAAGAGCUGCAUGCGAGGAUCCAGGAAAGGUCUGUCAUCGAGGAACAACUGUCCCAUCGAAAGGCUUCACCCGCUGGCGCUCACAUCCGACUGAUGGUUGGGGAAGGAGGAAGGUGACGGUUCCUUUUCACGUGACGUACAAGACGGUACCGCAAACACACACACACAUUCAUACACGCAAUGAAGAAACACGCUUACAGCUGAUACACGUUCAAAUUCAUGUUCAUGCUCAUCUGCUCGCAAUGAAGAAUCGCUUUUUGCUCAAAAAAAAAAAAUCCCACAGAGUGAUUUUAAAAUGAUGACAAACAGCUAAAUGACAACUGCUGCAUGACUUUACAGUCUGAUGGGUUCAAACUAUUUUAACUUGCAACAAAUUCAGUAAUAAAAUCCUUCAUGUUUCUAAAAAGAUUUGUGCACAAUAUAGGUUUGUCUGGACAGACUAGAAGACUGUAGAAAAAACAAAACAGACUGUAGGAAGACUGAGACCGACUGAAACAGACUAUUAAUGACUAUUAAAGGGAAGACGACUAUUAGAGAGAAGUAAUAAUAAUUACUGUACGUACCAGACUAUUAAAGAAAAACUUAUUCUUUCACUGUCUUGUGCAACAUCUGACAGCAAGACACCUUAACAUUCAUCUUUGCUUUCAAACUUGUGCCCAGUUAAAUUUUUAGGAAGAGAUCUCAUGUAGUUUAGAUAUUUGAUUGAUUUCCACUCCAGACGGAGUGCAGGUCACGUCUACAGACAUUCUAAAUAAUCCCUCUUUUGUUGGUGUUAACUUCAGCUCAGCUGUGCUCUUAUCAUUGGCUGCUGAGGGGGGGCUGUAACUGAGGCCCUCACACAGGCUGCAUCACAGCUUGUUUAUGAUUUCACACACAAACACACAAACUGACCUCAACUUCCCUCUUUUGCGAUGAACACAGGUCUGCGCUUGCGAUUUCUUUUCCUAACGAACAAAAAGAUUUUUGAUUUUUUAUUCUACAGUUCCACACGUCCCUCUGUGAAAACAUGAUGGAGACAGAUGCAGGACGUGGGUCCUUUCGUGAUCAGAUGUCAACGGGGUGGAGACUGGUGAACGACUUCUGACCCCAUGUGACGUAUUUACCCACAUUACAUGCUUUUGUUUUUAUUUUUAUUUUUCAGAGGACGCUCUGAGCCAAAACACAGAGCCUUACAGGAAGCCCUGUUUCCCUGUGGCUCACACACAGACAUGAUGUAGGUUCAAUCAGAGGAUGUGAACCAGUGGUCAUCACACCUAAAUCUGACCACAGACCAUGUGAACAACAACACCCUCUUAAAGGAAGCCAUAGAUGGUGUUACUGCAGACACCACUAAGCUACUGAAACAUUGGAUGCUACAGGCCACAAAGAGAGCCUGUCUAAAUUACACUUUGUUCAGACAAAGGUUAUUUUCUGGGUCAUUGUAAUUACAGCUGAUGGCAAAUCCAUCUCACCCAACAGAGUUGAAGCAAUUUGAAACCUGCCUAAACCGUGCACGUAAAAACAGCUGAUGUCUUUUCUAGGUCUUUGUUCUUAUUGUAGGAACUUCAUUCUUAACUUUACCUUCUCUGAGGCCCCACUCAGGGUUCUGAUGCAGACAUCUUCAUCGUCCACUUCUUGUCUCACGUGGACGUCUGAGGCUGAACAACGUUCACUGACCUCAAGCUUGCUCUUCAGUCGGCUCCUACUUUGGGUCUUCCUGAUCUGACCCUACGCGACCUUUCACUCAAACAGUGGAUGAGAAAUCAGGUUGUACGACUUCUGUUCUUUUGUCCUCAUACUGUCUUUGAUUCUUUUGGAAUAGAUCACAUCUUUCUACAGCCAGAUGGCUUAGAUACAACACCACCUUGCUCAACAUGCUGAAAAUUACUAUCAAGAGUCCGUCGUGAAGUCUGGCGCUUUGCAAAGACACUGCUCUGCUCAGGCUGCAGAGUUGAUCGUAUUGACUGAAGCUGGUAAACUAGCAGAAGGAGAGACUGUUACCAUCUACAGACUCCACAGAUGCUUGUCACACGUUGGUUCUCCUUGGAAGCAUGGGAAGCUUUGAAGUCUGAUUGCAAACCUAUCUUACAUCAUGAUAAGGUUCUGCUUUGCUGGACGCUGUCCUGCUGCCUACAGCUAAUGCUGUUUGUAACUGUCCAACAUCAGUGACGACUUUGUUUCUGCCGACAUGCAGCUGCAGACGCUGCUGCGAAGGUCGCUGCCCAACAACCCCUCCCUCUCCUGAUCCUCGUUUCCUCUUGUUCCCUCUCCAACUCUCUCUAUCCUUUCCUUCCUCAUCUCCCUGUGCUUUAAACAUUUUGUACCUCACAGGAACUCAGACUCUGGCUGACGAAUGGUUCCACCUGUAGCCAUGGAGUCUGGUAUGGGCCUGAUGGCAGCCGUGCCGCCCAAACACCUUUUCCCCACAAUUCAGAUUUCCAACAGGUGAAAACAGGCGACAGGACCAUUACACCAUCCAACGAGGGGACUGGCGAUCGUUAAGGACUUCAGGAGGAAGCAUUGGGACUCCAAACGAUGGCGAGGCCCCUUCCAGGUCCUUCUGACAACCCACACGGCUGAAAGAUCGCAGUGAGGGUGACUUGGAUCCACUCCAUCCACUGCAGGAAGGUCCCAGAUCCAACAGACGACCCUCCAUCUACAUCUACACCACACGAGAAAGCCACCACUGACGAAAAGAAUUAAGAAGGACGACCCUCGCUGUGCUCACACACGCACUGAGGCGAGGCUGCGUUGACCAUUCAGCUAAAGGUGUGAGCCAAGCGCCGCCUGAAGCUGCGCCGGUGAAUCACACUAUCAGACCAUACAUCUACACACACGCUCCUGAGAAAACACACACACGAGCAGCCUUGAGUUGCCGACGCUGGACGACGUGUAGACUCUUCACAUCACGGAGUGACAGUGACUCAGACGACAUUGGGAGGAAACCUGGCGGUGAUAACGAACCCCAAGUGUCUCUGUGAUCAGCUGAUCACAACCUGAAGAACCCCAACGAACUGUCAAUACUUCAACACACAGAUGAAAGACAACAGAAGCGGAAAUAUGCAUCAUCAUUCUGGUUAAAUCCCUGAAUCUCCUAUUCGCUCUAGACCCAAAUGUACAAUUAAAGAUCCGAAAGUAUGAAAUCUAUCUUAAGAUUAUAUGAAACAGAACCCCACCGGAAACCUAUGGCUAUCAUACAUUAAUUGUCUUUAUUACAUUACUAUUGAAUGGCCGUAGACACGUUGUUAGCAGAGAAAAGAGACGUUUGUGUUAUGUUCGGAGAGGCAUAUUGUACUUACAUCCUGAAUAACACUGAUUCUAAUGGUAUUGUGGCGAAGGCGCUACACGGCCUUCAGAAUCUCAGCUAACUCUGGUAUAGAUUCUUCCUCUUGGAAUUGGCUAGACGAAAUGUCUGGAAAAUGGAAAUCUGUUCUCAUGUCCACAGCUGUUUCCUUUAUAAUUGAGAUGGCUGUGAUUCUCUUGUUUGGUUUUUGCAUUAUCCCACUGGUUAGAGGUCUCAUCAUGCGUGCGACCUCAGCAACACUCUCGUAUCAAAUGACACAAUGCACUAUGUUCAAAAACCCCAACUCUAACUCACUUAAUGACUUUGACGAUGGUAUUGGCUUAUUUUCUUCACAUGCCAAUACAGAGGUUAUUCUUGUUUAACUACCCACCAAAAACAGCUCCCAACCUUUUGUCCCUUAGUUACUUCCAUUUUAUGUGAAGGUGUAUUUUGAAUCUUGAUGAGUUAAUACCCUUAUUGUUUCAUUUGCAAGGAUCUUUUAUUAUUACAGAAUGUGAUGUUGACAAUUUUUAUUCCUUUAUGGUUUGAUUAAUGUGUAAUCAAAAGGGGGGAGUGUUAUGGGAAAAAUUGUCUCUUCCUUAUUUCUAUGCAUUUCUAUGCAGUUAUUAUACGAGUUAUGACUUAUGUUCUGCAAUUAAUAUCUUAUGUUUUGUCUUACUGUAUGCAUUUGACAUUUCACCUAGAUUGUUCAAUGGUUGUCUCUGCCUGAUAGAC